GACGAACGCUGGCGGCGUGCUUAACACAUGCAAGUCGAACGGUAAGGCCCCUUCGGGGUUACACGAGUGGCGGACGAGUGGGUAACACGUGAGCAACCUGCCCUUGACUUUGUGAUACCAGCUGGAAACAGCCGCGAAUACCGGAUAUGACCUCUCCUCUCAUGGGUUGAGGUGGAAAGCUGCGUCGGUCAGGGAUGGACUCGCGGCCUAUCAGCUUGUUGGUGGGGUAAUGGCUCACCAAGGCUUCGACGGGUAGCCGGCCUGAGUGGGCGACCGGCCACACUGGGACUGAGAUACGGCCCAGACUCCUACGGGAGGCAGCAGUGGGGAAUAUUGCACAAUGGGCGGAAGCCUGAUGCAGCAACGCCGCGUGCGGGAUGACGGCCUUCGGGUUGUAAACCGCUUUCAGUAGGGACGAAGCUAACGUGACGGUAACUAGAGAAGAAGGACCGGCUAACUACGUG
RNAcentral lists this ribosomal RNA (464 nucleotides) under uncultured bacterium. Its description in RNAcentral is "partial 16S ribosomal RNA". It matches the Rfam family "Bacterial small subunit ribosomal RNA", at positions 28 to 507 of the family's 1533-position model. The record is from RNAcentral.